Molecule: ribosomal RNA, 442 nt
Filed under: uncultured bacterium
Lineage: Bacteria
Description: partial 16S ribosomal RNA
Rfam family: Bacterial small subunit ribosomal RNA
Source: RNAcentral
CCUACGGGGGGCAGCAGUGGGGGAUAUUGGACAAUGGGGGGAACCCUGAUCCAGCGACGCCGCGUGAGUGAAGAAGUAUUUCGGUAUGUAAAGCUCUGUCGUCAGGGAAGAAAGAAAUGACGGUACCUGACCAAGCAGCCCCGGCUAACUACGUGCCAGCAGCCGCGGUAAUACGUAGGGGGCAAGCGUUAUCCGGAUUUAUUGGGUUUAAAGGGUGCGUAGGCGGGCUGUUAAGUCAGCGGUAAAAGCCCGGGGCUCAACCCCGGCGAGCCUUUGAAACUGGCUGUCUUGAGAUGUCGAGAGGUAUGCGGAAUGCGUAGUGUAGCGGUGAAAUGCUUAGAUAUUGCGCAGAACUCCGAUUGCGAAGGCAGCAUACCGGCGGCGAUCUGACGCUGAGGCACGAAAGCGUGGGUAUCGAACAGGAUUAGAUACCCCAGUAGUC